RNAcentral lists this ribosomal RNA (427 nucleotides) under uncultured Lysobacterales bacterium. RNAcentral's name for it is "bacterial SSU rRNA". It matches the Rfam family "Bacterial small subunit ribosomal RNA", at positions 353 to 772 of the family's 1533-position model. Lineage: Bacteria; Pseudomonadati; Pseudomonadota; Gammaproteobacteria; Lysobacterales. The record is from RNAcentral.
AGUGGGGAAUAUUGGACAAUGGGGGAAACCCUGAUCCAGCGACGCCGCGUGUGUGAAGAAGGCCUGCGGGUUGUAAAGCACUUUCGGUGGGAACGAAAUAUGCCGGGCCAAUACCCCGGCAGGCUGACGUUACCCAAUGAAGAAGCACCGGCUAACUCUGUGCCAGCAGCCGCGGUAAUACAGAGGGUGCGAGCGUUAAUCGGAAUUACUGGGCGUAAAGCGCACGUAGGCGGCAUCGUAAGUCGGGUGUGAAAUCCCCGGGCUCAACCUGGGAACUGCAUUCGAGACUGCGAUGCUUGAGUAUGGGAGAGGACAGCGGAAUUCCGGGUGUAGCGGUGAAAUGCGUAGAUAUCCGGAGGAACAUCAGUGGCGAAGGCGGCUGUCUGGCCCAAUACUGACGCUCAGGUGCGAAAGCGUGGGGAGCAAA